Long non-coding RNA from Oncorhynchus keta (chum salmon), 5355 nucleotides. RefSeq lists it as uncharacterized. Lineage: Eukaryota; Metazoa; Chordata; Actinopteri; Salmoniformes; Salmonidae. The record is from RefSeq and is a predicted model, not a curated record. The transcript has 2 exons.
GAUCAAUUCACAAAUGGUGUCCAGGGCACAGCUGGGAGCUGACGGGGGGUCGGUAGCAGGCGGCAACAGUGAGAGACUUGUUUCUGGAGAGAGUAAUUUUCAAAAUUAGUAGUUCAAACUGUUUGGGUAUGGACCUGGAAAGUAUGACAUUACUUUGCAGGCUAUCUCUGCAGUAGACUGCGACUCCGCCCCCUUUGGCAGUUCUAUCUUGACGGAAGAUGUUAUAGUUGGGUAUGGAAAUCUCUGAAUUUUUGGUGGCCUUCCUGAGCCAGGAUUCAGACACGGCAAGGACAUCAGGGUUAGCAGAGUGUGCUAAAGCAGUGAGUAAAACAAACUUAGGGAGGAGGCUUCUGAUGUUGACAUGCAUAAAACCAAGACUUUUUCGAUCACAGAAGUCAACAAAUGAGGGUACCUGGGGGCAUGCAGGGCCUGGGUUUACCUCCACAUCACCCGCGGAACAGAGAAGGAGUAGUAUGAGGGUGCGGCUAAAGGCUAUCAAAACUGGUCGCCUAGAGCGUUGGGGGCAGAGGAUAAGAGGAGCAGGUUUCUGGGCUAAAAUCUCUACAACAAUAGUUGACAUUUCGCGAAUGAGUUUGUUGUCCAGUCCCUGUCAGGGGCUUUGAAGAUUGAUUUCAUCUUCAACCUGCGGGUGCAGUCAAAAGGGCGAAUCAAUCUCUGAAAAUGUAAUUGGUUAAGCUAAUUGGUGAAACAAGCCUGACAUGGGUGAAAGUGCUUCCAUUGGUACUGAUGAGUAUGAAGGCAGAUCCCAUAUGGUCACUGGUCUCUCUCCACACAAGGUGCUGACUGGCCGUCCUAUGCAAAUGACAAAUGCACCUUUCACCCAGAACAGGUUGUUCCUUCAAGGGAUGGAGGAAGACAUGGUUGAGUAUUGUGUCACCCUUAGCAGUGUUCUCAAGACUCUCUUUCCUCAAAUGAAGGCAUCUUUGCCGAACAUGGCAGGUGGAGCUGAGCACUGUUUGAGCCCAGAGGAUUUUGUGGUGGUCAAGGACUUCAGGAGAAAGAGUUGGAAGGACUCCCAUUGGAGAGGGCCGUACCAAGUUCUUCUGGGUUGCUGAGAGAGAUACCUGGAUCCACGUGUCACACUGCAGACGAGUUCCUGAUCUAGGAGAAGAUAGGGCUUUGCCAGUUCCGGUGGUGCAGUAUGGCCCUCCUCUGCAUUAGUACAGGAGUGCUAAUAAGAAUAGUAGGUUGUCCUCUUGUGGGAAACCUGGCAGAGGGUCCCGAGCCAAAAGGGCCAACGCCGGUCCGGAGUAGUGGCCCAGAAGUAGAUGGGCAUUGUAGAAGGAGUCCUGAGCCAAAGGGGCCAAUGCAGGUCCAGGGCAUUGACCCAGAAGUAGGAGGAGAGCCCUGCUGGGCCCUCAUAACCAUGAGGACAAUCUGUUCUUCUCUAGAGCAGAAAUGUUUGCUAAUCUUACAUUUGGACAAAGAGCGUUGUUAAAAAAAACAUUUAUUGGUCUCAUACACAUGGUUAGGAGAUGAAAGUGUGGCGUAAUGGUUGGACUUCUAGUUCCGUCAGUGCAGUAAAAUCUAACAAGUAAUCUAACAAAUUCACAACGACUACCUUAUACACACAAAUGCAAUGGGAUGAAUAUGUACAUACAUAUAAAUAUAUGGAUGAGCGUUGGCCAUGCAGCAUAGGCAAGAUGCAGUAGAUGGUAUAGAACACAGUAUUAGAUGAGUAAUGUAGGAUAUGUAAACAUUAUAUAAAGUUCCAUUAUUUAAGUGACUAGUGACACAUUUAAAGUUGAAGUCAGAUGUUUACAUACACCUUAGCCAAAUACAUUUAAACUAAGUUUUUCACAAUUCCUGACAUUUAAUCCUAGUAAAAAUUCCCUGUUUUAGGUCAGUUAUGAUCACCACUGUGAAAUGUCAGAAUAAUAGUAGAGAUAGUGAUUUAUUUCAGCUUUUAUUUAUUUCAUUCAAUUCCCAGUGGGUCAGAAGUUAAUAUACACUCAAUUAGUAUGCUGUAGCAUUGCCUUUAAAUAGUUUAACUUGGGUCAAAUGUUUCGGGUAGCCUUCCACAAGUUUCCCACAAUAAGUUGGGUGAAUUUUGGCCCAUUCCUCCUGACAGAGCUGGUGUAGCUGAGUCAGGUUUGUAGGCCUCCUUGCUUCCAAACACCUUUUCAGUUCUGCCCACAAAUUUUCUAUAGGAUUGAGGUCAGGGCUUUGUGAUGGCCACUCCAAUACCUUGACUUUGUUGUCCUUAAGCCAUUUUGCCACAACUUUGGAAAUAUGCUUGGGGUCAUUGUCCAUUUGGAAGACACAUUUACGACCAAGCUUUAACUUCCUGACUGAUGUCUUGAGAUGUUGCUUCAAUAUAUCCACGUAAUUUGCCAUCCUUAUGGUGUCAUCUAUUUUGUGAAGUGCACCAGUCCCUCCUGCAGCAAAGCACCCCCACAACAUGAUGCUGCCACCCCAGUGCUUCACGGUUGGAAUGGUGUUUUUCGGCUUGCAAGCCUCCCACUUUUCCUCCAAACAUAACGAUGGUCAUUAUGGCCAAACAAUCCUAUUUUUGUUUCAUCAGACCAGAGGACAUUUCUCCAAAAAGUACAAUCUUCAUCCCCAUGUGCAGUUGCAAACCGUAGUCUGGAUUUUUUAUGGCGGUUUUGGAGCAGUGGCUUCAUCCUUGCUGAGCGGCCGUUCAGGUUAUGUCGAUAUAGGACUUGUUUUACUGUGGAUAUAGAUACUUUUGUACCUGUUUCCUCCAGCAUCUUCACAGGGUCCUUUGCUGUUGUUCUGGGAUUGAUUUGCACUUUUCGCACCAAAGUACGUUAAUCUCUAGGAGACAGAACGUGCCUCCUUCCUGAGCGGUAUGACGGCUGUGUGGUCCCAUGGUGUUUAUACUUGCAUACUAUUGUUUGUACAGAUGAACGUGGUACCUUCAGGCAUUUGGAAAUUCCUCCCAAGGAUGAACCAGACAUGUGGAGGUCUACAAUUUUUUUCCUGAGGUCUUUGCUGAUUUCUUUUGAUUUUCCCAAAGAGGCACUGAGUUUCAUGCACAAAGUAGACGUCCUAACCGACUUGCCAAAACUAUAGUUUGUUAACCUCUCUGUGCACGGAACCCACUAGCGGGCUGAAAUUCCACAACAUACGGUGAUCGCGACAUAAAUAGUCAUAUUAGACAUUCAUGAAAAUACAAGUGUCUCACAUGUAUCAAAAGCCUAGAAUCUUGCUAAUCUAACUGCGUUGUCAGAUAUUAAAAAAGGAUUUACUGCGAAAGAAUACGAUGCGAUUAUCUGAGCAUAGAGCCCCAUAAAAAAAUAUAUAUUUUAACCAGCACAGGCGUAACAUAAUCACAAACUGCAUUAAAAUAAAUCGUUUACCUUUGACGAUUUCCGUCUGUUUGCAAUCCCAAUGCUCAUUGUUACACAAUGAAUGAUCUUUUGUUUGAUAAAAUCCGUUUUUAUAGCCUAACAUGAAACAUUUUGUGAACCGCUUGUGUCGUGAAUUCCGUCUCAUUUAAUUUUCGACAACAUAAUCCAGGUAAAUAACCCACACAGAACGUGACUUUUCCAGUCAUGUUUGGUUUCACUGCAAUCAACUAGUUUUUUUGUAACACAAUCAAACCUGAUGGGCAAUUUCACGGGACGUAUUGACUGAAAGAAACCGAUUUGAAGACAACAAGUCAUGACAUCUGUCACGCCCUGGUCUAAGUAUUUUGUGUUUUUCUUCAUGUAUUGGGUCAGGCCAGGGUGUGGCAUGGAGUUUUUGUAUUGUGGUGUGUUUUGUCUUGGGGUUUUGGUGUGUAUGUAUUUGGGAUUGUAGCUAGUGGGGUUAUCUAGCAAAGUCUAUGCCUGUCUGGAGUGGUUCUCAAUCAGAGGCAGGUGCUUAUCGUUGUCUCUGAUUGGGAACCAUAUUUAGGCAGCCAUAUUCUUUGAGUUUGUCGUGGGUGAUUGUCCUGAGUGUCUUGACGUCCUUAUUCUGUGUUAGUUUGCACCAGUUUAGGCUGUUUCGGUUUUCAUUACGUUUAUUGUUUUGUAGAGUUUGUGUUUUGGAUUCGUGUUACGUUUGUUUUAUUAAACAUGGAUCACAAUAUACACGCUGCAGUUUGGUCCGACUCUCCUUCACCAUUAGAAAACCGUGACAACAUCAUUGUGCACCAAUGAUUUGCCUGCUGUUUCGUUGAUUGACUGUAUUUUAACCCAAUGACCACUGAUCGUCUUGAAAUCUAGCUGGGUAGAUAGCCAAUGAGCUGAGCUAAACGGCAAUAGGUCAUGUUUAUGUGUUGCAAGACCAACCCAUGUAGUAAGCUCCAGCGUAACGAGAGUCAUAAGCUAUUGAAGUUUCAUACCAGAAGGAGAAACCCAUAUUACGCACUGCAUUGUUUGGUGAACGCGCAGAUUCAGCUGUUUAUAUAUCAAUCAUUAUGGCGACUAAGUCAGGGAAAGCUAAAUCUAAGUAUAGAUAUACAGAUGUACACACAAUUUUUGAAUACAUUGAUUGGGAAGGUGAGACAGAGAUUGUUGUAGGACGAAUCAUUUAGCGAUUGUGGAGGAAUAUUUUUUGAACGGGAGAGGACAUUGUUUUGGACUGGACCUGAGCCCUGGGACCAUGCAUCAGGACUACCUGGCAUGAUGACUCCUUGCUGUCCCCAGUCCACCUGGCCUUGCCGCUGUUCCAGUAUCAACUGUUCUGCCUGCGGCUAUGGAACCCUAAACUGUUCAUUUUUACUCUUGAGGUGCUGUCCUGUUGCACCCUCUACAACCACUGUGAUCUCCACCCGGCACAGCCAGAAGAGGACUGGCCACCCCUCAUAGCCUGGUUCCUCUCUAGGUUUCUUCCUAGGUUUUUGCCUUUCUAGGGAGUUUUUCCUAGCCACCGUGCUUCUACACCUGCAUUGCUUGCUGUUUGGGGUUUUAGGCUGGGGCUAUAUAAAUAGAUUUGAUUUGAUAGAGGACUGAGGGCCUUCCAAAUAUUGAAAGUGUGUAAAUAGUUACCCAUGUUAUUUUGUAAAUGUAUAUAUAUAUAUUUUUUCAUAUAUUUUUUAAUCAAUAAUUUUUUCCCCCCAUUUGUUUUGGUCCAUUUUUUGGGGGGAUGUGUGUUAGAAUACCAUUUUGGUAUUUUGUAUAUGGUUAUUUGUUUCAAAAUGUAUACCUUCACCAAUUUGGCCACUUGGGUACAUUUGGGCUACUUGUGUGGGACACCUGGGUGACUUCAUGAUAAAUGUCAUGUAGCACACUCCUUUUGGAAGUUAUCAUUCUGAAACUUUGCACAAGUACUGUUGCCCUCUUCUAUGUCUCACUGAAAUUGUCCCCAUCAUCCUACCCGAAUGUUUGUUUUAUCUUGUUCAUUUUAAAGAUGAUGAUAUAAAAAUAAAAAACAUGUUUUCUUUCA